GAGGAGGUGGAGGGGACAGGAGAGGAGGUGGAGGGCUAAUGUGAACCUCCUCUUUAAAUAGAGGAGAGAAGAGGAGAGGAGAGGAGGAGAUGUGAGGAGAGGAGAGGAGGACAGGAGAGGAGGUGGAGGGCAAGCGUCAACCUUCUCUAUUAAAAGAGAAGAGAGGAGGAUGAAAGGAGAGGAGGUGGAGGGCAAGUGUGAACCUUUUCUUUAAAAAG
Molecule: long non-coding RNA, 218 nt
Organism: Anoplopoma fimbria (sablefish)
Lineage: Eukaryota; Metazoa; Chordata; Actinopteri; Perciformes; Anoplopomatidae
Exons: 3
Source: RefSeq, a predicted model, not a curated record